This 1533-nucleotide ribosomal RNA is filed under the name Triticum aestivum (bread wheat). RNAcentral's name for it is "partial small subunit ribosomal RNA". Lineage: Eukaryota; Viridiplantae; Streptophyta; Magnoliopsida; Poales; Poaceae. The record is from RNAcentral.
AUGGCAAGGACACCGAGGACGACAAUUUUACACCUUGUCCUAACCCUCUGCUGCAUCCUCUGGGUUCAAAACACGCCCUCUUUAGCUUCCACUGCAAGUGCAAUCGAUGAAUUCCUUGGGUGCCUCUCGGCGGACAUCCCGUCUGGCCUCAUCCAGACCCCGGCAACCCCGUCGUCCUACUCCGCCCUCCUGCUGUCCACCGCCCGGAACCUCCGCUACGUCCUGCCGGACACCUCCAAGCCUCUAGGGAUCAUCGCGGCCACCGAGCACGCCCACGCGCAGACCACCGUGCGCUGCGGCCGCCGCCACGGCGUCCGCGUCCGCGUGCGCAGCGGCGGCCACGACUACGAGGGCCUCUCCUACGCCUCCGUCCACCUCCACAACCGCAACGAGCCCUUCGCGGUCCUGGACCUCGCCGCUCUCCGGGCGAUCCACGUCGACGCGGCGCGUGCUGAGGCGUGGGUCGAGUCCGGCGCCACCGUCGGCGAGCUCUACUACGCCGUCGGCGCCGCCAGCCGCUCGCUGGGGUUCCCGGCGGGCUCGUGCCCCACCAUGGGCGUCGGUGGCCACCUCAGCGGCGGCGGGUUCGGCUCGCUGGCACGCAAGUACGGCCUCUCCGCCGACAACGUCCUGGACGCCGUCGUCGUGGACGCCGACGGAAGGCUGGUGAACAGGAGCACCAUGGGGGAGGACCACUUCUGGGCUCUCUGUGGCGGAGGCGGCGAGAGCUUCGGCGUGGUGCUGUCGUGGAAGGAGAUGGCGCCGGCUUCACCGCAAGAGCUGUACCUCCGCGUGCUCGUGCUGAACCAGCAGGCUAAUUUCCAAGCGCUGUUUCUCGGCCGGUGCGGCGGCCUCCAUCGGCUCAUGCAAGACCGCUUCCCUGAGCUCGGGAUGACGGAGCAAGACUGCGAGGAGGUGAGCUGGGUGCAGUCCACGGCCUUCUUCGGCUUCUCCACGACGUCCGUGCCACCGGAGCAGCUCCUCAACAGGAGCAGCAACCCGAGCUACUACCUCAAGGCCAAGUCGGACCACGUGCAGGAGCCGAUUCCAAGGGACGUGUGGGAGAGCAUAUGGACGACAUGGCUGGAGAAGCCCGAGGCGGCGCUGCUCAUGCUGGACCCUUACGGCGGCGUGAUGAGCAGCAUCCCGCCGUCGGAGACGCCGUUCCCGCACCGGCAGGGGAACCUCUACCAGCUCCAGUACUACUCCUUCUGGUACGAGAACGGGACGGCGGCGGCGGAGAAGCGGAUGAGCUGGGUCAGGGGGCUGUACAAGGAGAUGGAGCCCUACGUGUCCAAGAACCCGAGGGCGGUGUACGUCAACUACAGGGACCUUGACCUGGGGACGAAUGAGCUGGACGGUGACGUGACGAGCUAUGAGAAGGCUAGAGUCAGCUGGGGAGACAAGUAUUUCAAAGGAAAUUUUAAGAGGUUGGCAGCCGUGAAGACCAUGGUGGAUCCCCAUGAUUUCUUCAGGAAUGAGCAGAGCAUCCCUCCUCUUCCCACUGCCAAAAUGAUGAUAGAUUCCAUUUGA